UACGAAGGGGGCUAGCGUUGUUCGGAUUUACUGGGCGUAAAGCGCACGUAGGCGGCUUUGUAAGUAAGAGGUGAAAGCCCAGAGCUCAACUCUGGAAUUGCCUUUUAGACUGCAUCGCUUGAAUCAUGGAGAGGUCAGUGGAAUUCCGAGUGUAGAGGUGAAAUUCGUAGAUAUUCGGAAGAACACCAGUGGCGAAGGCGGCUGACUGGACAUGUAUUGACGCUGAGGUGCGAAAGCGUGGGGAGCAAACAGG
This 253-nucleotide ribosomal RNA is filed under the name uncultured bacterium. RNAcentral's name for it is "partial 16S ribosomal RNA". It matches the Rfam family "Bacterial small subunit ribosomal RNA", at positions 524 to 776 of the family's 1533-position model. The record is from RNAcentral.